AGUGAACGCUGGCGGCAGGCCUAACACAUGCAAGUCGAACGGCAGCACAGCAGUAGCAAUACUGUGGGUGGCGAGUGGCGGACGGGUGAGGAAUACAUGGGAAUCUACCCUGUCGUGGGGGAUAACGUAGGGAAACUUACGCUAAUACCGCAUACGACCGAGAGGUGAAAGCGGCGGACCGCAAGGCGUCGCGCGACUGGAUGAGCCCAUGUCGGAUUAGCAGUUGGCGGGGUAAAGGCCCACCAAGGCGACGAUCCGUAGCUGGUCUGAGAGGAUGAUCAGCCACACUGGAACUGAGACACGGUCCAGACUCCUACGGGAGGCAGCAGUGGGGAAUAUUGGACAAUGGGCGCAAGCCUGAUCCAGCCAUGCCGCGUGUGUGAAGAAGG
Molecule: ribosomal RNA, 389 nt
Filed under: uncultured bacterium
Lineage: Bacteria
Description: bacterial SSU rRNA
Rfam family: Bacterial small subunit ribosomal RNA
Source: RNAcentral